GCUUACGGCCAUACCACCCUGAACAUGCCCGAUCUCGUCCGAUCUCGAAGCUAAGCAGGGUUGGGCUGGUUAGUACUUGGAUGGGAGACCACCUGGGAAUACCAGGUGCUGUAAGCU
Molecule: ribosomal RNA, 117 nt
Filed under: Labrus bergylta (ballan wrasse)
Lineage: Eukaryota; Metazoa; Chordata; Actinopteri; Labriformes; Labridae
Source: RNAcentral